Lycium ferocissimum is the source of this 2157-nucleotide RNA transcript. RefSeq lists it as uncharacterized. Lineage: Eukaryota; Viridiplantae; Streptophyta; Magnoliopsida; Solanales; Solanaceae. The record is from RefSeq and is a predicted model, not a curated record. The transcript has 4 exons.
GUCAGAUUUCCAAAUCCCCUAAAUUUUUUUUCUGCACUUUAAACUGAGAAUUCACAAAUCAAUUACACUUGUAUUUAAUUGGGUUUUUGCAUUUUCUUCUACAAGCAGUGCUGCUAGCCAGUGAUUUUAAUUUCAAGAGAAACCACUUUUGGUGCAUUGCGAGACGAUACAAAGGUGACAUUAUCCAAAAGAUGCAUGGUCGAAGGAGAUGAGAAGGCUGGUAUGCUCAUGAAGCUGGAGAAGAAAUCCAAGAAAAGGAAAAAGAAUGCUGCCUCCAAUGAUUUGGAAGUGACAAAGGGCGAUUUUAAAGGAGGAAGUGAAGAUAGUGACAUCAAGAGAAAGAAAGAAAUAGGUGGCGGAAAACCGCCUGGGAAAUCAAGUAAAGACGGGUGCGAGGAUGCGGUUGAAAAAGUCGUAAAAAUGAAAAAAAAGUUGAAGAAAGAGCAGGAGACAUUGAUAAUGCAUGAUGCUAGUUUAGAUACCAAAACAAUUGCUCCUGAAAGUGUGAGUGGAACUCAGGAGACCAAUGCGGUUGAGACUCUCAGUGAGGGCUCUGGUGGAAAUGUUAUAGACGAAUCGAAGAGGAAGAAGAGGAAAAAGGAAAAGCGGAAAAAAGAGGAUGGACAGGUAGAUAUCGUGACUGGUGUAAUUCAAGGUCAUGUUUCAGCUAUAGAAGAGAUAGAAGAUAGCAAAAUAGAUGAUGCUAAUAUCAGAAAGAGGAAAAAGACAAAACUAGGACACAAUUGUAAAGAUCUUAUACAUGAAAAGACUGAAAAAAGAGUGAGAUUUUCUGAUCAUGUACAAUUUUUUCCUCCAACCAGUGAUCGAAUUGACGAGAAGCAUGAAAAUAACAAGGAAAAAUUACUGUUUGGCAAACAAUUCACAGAGGAAGAAGAUGAAAUAGUCAAAGACGCUGUUUAUAGAUACAUAGAGGUACAUAACUUGGGCGAAGACGGGUUGCAAAAGGUUAUAAAUUCUAUAUCCAAUCCUGAAGUAAGGGGCUGCUGGAAAGAGAUAGGGAAGGCUAUACCGUACAGGCCUUACAGAGCAGUUUAUUCUCGUGCACAACGUUUGUUUCGAGCGGGUGAGAAGCGUAAAUGGACUGAAGAAGAGUAUGAGAUGGUAAGAAAGUUCCGAGGACAACAUGGGCAUAACUGGACCGUUUUGGCCGAUGAACUUGGGAAACAUCCGGUUCACGUUGGAAAUGCAUGGCAUAGGAUAAAACUGGAAAAUCGGAAGAAAGGAAAUUGGGAUCAGGAGGAAAUCCAGAAACUGUUUGAUUUGGUAAACACCGACCUGCAACUGAAGCUCUGUGAAGAAAGGAAAUCUAAGCAUGGGAUGUUACGGGAUAAUAUUUGCUGGAGUGCAAUUAGUGACAGUUUGUCCACCAGGAUUUCUCCACAUUGCUGCAAUAAAUGGUACAGACAAUUAACAUCACCGAUGGUUGCUGCAGGUGAAUGGGCAGAUACUGAUGACUAUCGCUUAAUUGAUGCCCUUUUUGAACUUGAUGCGAGUUGCAUAGAGGACGUGGAUUGGGACAAUCUUCUUUUCCACAGGAUAGGAGAGUUAUGUCGAAAGAGAUGGAAAGAGAUGGUUCGUCAAAUAAGUCAACAUGAAAACAAGUCAUUUGCUGCACAAGUAGAAGUGUUAGCUAAGAGAUACCGCCCUGAUUUGGUUGGAGCAAGAGAGGCCUGGGAUAGAAAACCAGUUGUUCCAUGAGAUGUUCAUCACUCUGCAUGGACGUUUCUGCAGAGAGAGAUGCUUAAGGAACACGUAUAACGGUAAUGUAUCCGUUCACUUGUCAAUGGUCACAGCCUAGUGAUCAAUGGAGUGGGUUGAGAACCAUGAGAUCUUAGGUUCAAAUCCAAGCAGAAGCAAAAUGACUAGGUGAUUUCUUUCCAUUGGUUCAAGCCUUUGGUGAACAGAGUUAGCUGAUACAUGUGCUAGUGGGAGAUAGCAAGUGCCUCCCAAAAUUAGUCAGAGGUGGGAGAUUCAAUCUCGUAACUGUAGUCACUUAGUUACUAGGCUCUCUCCUGUAUGUUAAUGAGGCCCACUAAACUUGAUCUGAGCUAGUGUGGUUCUUCUCCUGUACGGGCUCACUCGCUCACUCAGUAGAAAUCCUACUAUUAAAAUUCAAAAAGUGAGGCAUUUUUCUCA